Molecule: ribosomal RNA, 253 nt
Filed under: uncultured bacterium
Lineage: Bacteria
Description: partial 16S ribosomal RNA
Rfam family: Bacterial small subunit ribosomal RNA
Source: RNAcentral
GAUCCUGGCUCAGGAUGAACGCUAGCUACAGGCUUAACACAUGCAAGUCGAGGGGCAUCAGUUUGGUUUGCUUGCAAACCAAGGCUGGCGACCGGCGCACGGGUGAGUAACACGUAUCCAACCUGCCUCAUACUCGGGGAUAGCCUUUCGAAAGAAAGAUUAAUAUCCGAUAGCAUAUAUUUCCCGCAUGGGUUUUAUAUUAAAGAAAUUCGGUAUGAGAUGGGGAUGCGUUCCAUUAGUUUGUUUGGGGGGG